CGAACCACCAACGCUGAUCCCAAGAAGCUGAAGAUAAUAGAACGUGUCGAGCUUCGGAUUCGUCAAUAACGUCGUGAAGACGGAGGUCUCUCGAACGGCGUCGUUUCCGAAGACGAUAGUCGACGGAGGUUUGGAAGCGGAACCGGAACUCGUCCGGUCGACUAAACAGUAAGAGAAUUUAGCGUUGUAACGGUUUUUCGUCUGCGAGGGAAACGAUAACCCUCCGCGGCCCAGGCCCAACAGCCCAGCCGCACCGACGAACAAGCCUUCGUUAUCGUGACCGCAUCCUAAGGCCACGUGAUCCACACGUGCGCCGUGAAACGUCAGCGUUUCGGUGGAGAAAUCUCCCAUGGUGAAAGACCCGUCACCGUAGGAGACUUGAUAGAGACAUGUCUUGCUUCUUUACAGAUAUACCAGACUGAGUUGUAUUGAACCAUUUAAACUCUUCAUGACAUGAGAACAAGCCAGAGAAAACAAAGAAGCCACAACCCAAGUUUACAUCAUAGAUCACAGACAAAGCCCCUAAUUACAACACUUCUCCACGGUUGACACACUCCGACGACGACUCGUCUAGUCUCCGACAGAGAGGAGAACCGCAUGGGACGGUGGCAAAGGUUUUUGACUUAGCCGGGUCGAACAUCGGGUCGGAUUGGCUCCUCCUCCACCUUCACCACUUUGCUGCUGCUCUUUCCAGAUUCUUCCAGUGACUCGCAGUUUCAGCUCUUUCCUGUCUCCACCUGAGAAGAAUAGAGCCAUGUUCCUCUGUAUGAUUAGCCCAUCAUGACUGUCUCUAACUUUCCUGUGACUGUCUCUUACGCUUCUCGGCGUUCCUUCCCAAAUCAGCUUCCGACCAUAACCUCCCACUUCCAAACUGUAGUUGUAGUUCCGAGCUUCUGUCUCGUCCCCCAUGAAACGCAGGAUUGCCAUGUAGACUGGAGCCAUACCGAGCUGGAAUGCCUCAAAGUGGAGACAGAAGUAUUGACCAAAGCAGUGAAAGACCUGACACAAAAAAAACCAAAAAGACAGAAACUUUGAUAAGCCUAUGGGACGGUUAUAGAUGAUUGAAUCAUAUGUAGUCUUACGGUUAACAUCCACGUGGCGUUUUCGACUUCGCGAGGAUUAGACUUGACAUAACGGUGGUUGAAAGUACACCCAGAAUGCAUAUCCACCUUGUGAUCAUCCCUCAGAUGAGCAACUAAGAAAGGUAUAUCACCCAUGACAGAACACUCGGAACCAGCGUAGGGACAGUUAUAAGGCCUGAAGUUACAAACAGUCUCGUGUUUGAGCUUACUGUAAUAAGGAAAUAUCUCAGGACAGCCAAGAGACAUGUAUUUGCACGGUAGCUCAAGGGACUCGGCUACUUUUUCGAGUGCCAAGCAACGGAUAUCACCGAGCUCUUGUCUACAAGUAGGGCAUCGAUUGUGAACCCUGUUCUUACAAGUUGAACAUAGAGUAUGUCCAUUGUGACACUGCAGAGGGAAUCAAAAUCUUUGUGUUAAGCAAAGAGACAAUCAAAAGGCCCUGAAACCAAUCAAGAGAGGAAAGAUCCGGGAACUGAAAAGUAAGGCAAAUUCAGACAGCAAUAGAUUGAAGUGUUUUGUCCGAAAAUACUCUAAAGAGGCAAUCAAAAAGCUGGUAGCUUUGGUAAUGUUUCUUAAGAGAGCACAUAAAAAACCCUAAAACCAAUCAAGAAAGCAAAGAUCCGGGAACUGAAAAGCAGGGGAAAAUUCAGACAACAAGAGAUUAAAAUAGAGUAUCAAACCAUAGUGUAAGUGUUUUGUCCGAAAAUUCUCUAAAGAGACAAUCUUAAAAGCUAAUAGCUUUGGCAAUGUUUCUCAAGAGAGCACACAGAAAAACCCUAAAACCAAUCAACAAAGCAAAGAUCCGGGUAACAAAGAGAUUGAAACAGAGUAUCAAACCAUAGUGUAAGUGUUUUGUCCGAAAAAUUCUCUAAAGAGACAAUCAAAAAGCUUAUAGCUUUGGCAAUAUUUCUCAAGAGAGAGCACACAAAAAAACUAAAAGCAAUCAACAAAGCAAAGAUCCGGACAACAAAGAGACUGAAACAGACCUGAUGAAUAGGAGGGUACAUAGAAUUGGUGCAGACAGGACAUUCGAGAAGCUCGUGAACACUGGUGGUGGUCGGAAGAAGACCAGAAGCAGCAUUCGCGUUGCUGUUAUUACUGUGAUGCUUCGAAACCGAUGCGUAGGAAUGGCGAUCUUGGUGGAUCUCUUCGUCAUCUGUGACAUCUAUGGUUGAAGCACAGUCCAUGCUAUCCAAAUCCAUCAAAAAGGUGAAAACUUUAUUAAUCUCCGAUCGAGAGGAAGAUCGAAUCCGAUGGAUUGAAACGCCAACGAAUCAGGUCAACCUUCGUGAAGUGUUGAUUUCGAAGAAAGAGAGAUGCUUUUCUUCAUUGAGAGAGAGAGAGAGAGUUGCCGUCAAAUGAACAGGCAACGCUGAUUUGAUAUCGGACGGUCAGGAUUAUUCAGGAAGGGCGACUGUGUUGUAUAGAGAGAAUGUUAUUUGGGAAACUUUAAUUUAUAUGAGCGGAAAUAAUCAUUUAAUAAUAAUAUCUUCUUACUCAUCAAUGAUUUUUUUUGUGUUUUAAUUAAAUGUUAAAAUAUUUUAAUUAAAAAUUACUCCAUAAUAAAGGGCCAUGGUCCAGUAAAGAUGGGGGGCUAAACAUGUACAUGGUGGACAUGAUUGCAUAUUAUGAUGAGUUUUUCAGUUUUCAUUCAAUAAGAUUUGUGGUCUUUUAAUUCUCAAUACAAAGUUACUCAAAACCAACGUAAAUAGAUGAUUUGUAGGAACAUCCAAUCCAAUCCAAUAAGAUAAAUAUAAUUGUUGAAUGAUAAUAGAAUCGAUGUAAUAAUUAUAUAAUUUGUAAUAAAAUAAAAAUUAAUGUUAAAAACGUCAAGCAGUCACUAAAGAAACUCCAAAGCAACAUGGUAAAACGUUACUCAUCUUUAUUUUAACUUUCAUAAAAACUCUAAAGUAAUAGAUCAAGUUAAAUAACUUUUAGACGUUAAGAAAAUGAAUUCUGAGAGACAAGAAUCUAAUGGAAUGUCGCUUGGGUUGAAAGCCACUUAAAAGACUAAUGAUAAUGUAAAAAGAACAUUUUACUCUUCUUCAUCUCAACAAGCAAACUCACAUUUUUCUUUUAAAGAAUGAACGAAAAUUAUUCCAAUAAAAUAAUUGGUCUCAUGAUAAUAGUGAUCAUCCUUAAAGACACAACACGUAAAGGAGAAAAAGCAAACAACAACGAUCCAGCUUUCAUGAUCUGUCAUUACUUUUUAACAGAACAUGUCGUUGUACAAUCCUCUUCAUGUUGGGAUCUUGUCUGAGAAAAGAAAAAGCUCCAGAGACUCUAAGAUCUGACAUAAGAACUGUUUCUACACAAGUUUUGCCUCAGUAACACAGAGAUCAAUCAUUAUACAAUCUGAUUAUUCAUGCACAAAAGAAUCAAAUUUAUGGCCUUUCAGGAUCCGAGAAUGACUGGUUAGUUUAUUUGUUACCACUGGUUAGCCGAUGUUUCCCGGUACUUCUCAUCAUCAUUGCCCUGAGGCAACUGCUUUGGUUUAGUACCUUUUGCCCGGUUACUUGACAGUCUCUUGGAUAUUCUAUCUUUAGCGGUUGUUUUCUUACGCCGUGCCAAGGAAAAGGUUUGCUUCUUGUUUUUCCUUUCAGCAAAAACUCUAUCAAACUCUUCGUCGAUGACAGCUGAUUUAGAAGUUGAGGCUAGAGCAGCAUCACGCAGAACUGAAAAGUUAUGUUCCUUAACCUUAGCAUGCUUUGCUCGCUUUGCUAUUUUCUUCAAGUCUUCUCUGUCUUUCUCCCUGAUAUUCUUCAGAGCUUGUUUCGCUAUUUGCCUAGCUAACUGAUUAGGAUCAGAAUCUGAAGUUGUUUCAUCCAUAGGCGCGUCAUCCUCCUGGCUGAUCCCUGUAGUUGAGGAGGAGGUUUGGUUUUGACUCUCCUCUAACGAAGAUUCGUUGAUUAUGGGGUUUCCUUCAUCAUCCCGAGGUACAAUGGGUCCAUGAAACGGGCAGGCUCGUAGGUCUCUUCUGUGGCAAAGACCACCUUUCUUUAGAGGAGCAUGGCAUGGAGGUAUCUCCGUUCUCUCUUCUCUAUAGACAGUUGCCUGAAGAUUCAGUUCUGCUAUUUUAUCUGCUGGAAUCACAGCGUCUUGAUCCACCCUGCCCCAGUGGCUCUCAACCUCUAAGCCUCGGUGAUUAGCUCGGACUUCCGUUGUUGAGUCCCAAUUACUCAGCUGUGAUCCCCAACUCAUCACCGGUGCUUCAGAAAUUAGCUUAUCCCUAAGAGGGUCACCACUUCUUACAACCGUUUUAGUACUGGACGCCUUGUUGGAGCUAGAUUCUAAUGUAGACCUCUUAGCUUUACUUGGUGAUCUGAAGGAUGAACCCUCACCGUUCUGAACUCUCGGCAAAGGAGCCACCUUUUUGACUGGAUCAGUUCCAACCUUGCCAUCAUCUUCCUCCCAGAUAUCUUCUUCAUCUUCUUCUUUCUCGCCAGUGUCAAUCAUUCUCGAGAUUAUAAAACCAGCUUGCUCACAUUUCUUCUCAGUUGCUAAUAUGCUAUUCCUAAUAUCAAUCAACUCUUUCAACAUGGAAUCUCUCGUCCUGUUAUCACUUACAUCAACCCUGAUGAGAAGAGAGAUCCCAUCUUGAACCGAGACCAAAUGCUUUUUCAUCAGAAGCUUCCCCUGUUCCCUCAACACAUCAAACACCACUCUGUUUUCACUAGUUUCCUCAACCUUAUCAGACUGCUUCAGCGAAUCCAUACGAAUCUGCCUCAGAUGAGAACAACGUAUCUCCUCGUAAUCCUCCUCAUCUAAAAUCGCAAGUGGAACACCAUCAUCCCCUCUCCACUGAACAAUCGCCAGACCCUCCUUGAUCUCCUUUAUCGUCUCCUCAAUCUCACCCUUCAAGACCCCAAACCCAUCUCUCAAAGACUCAAACUUGCUUCUCAAAAUCUCCUUCGUCCUCUCCUCUCUCUCCAGCCUCUCUCUUUGUCUCCGCGCAGCGGUUGCCUGCAGAUCAGGGAACUUGAGCUUGAGGGUGUUCUUAAGGGAAUCAAAACCAAGCCUAAUCUCCUUGUAGUGUAACCCAAAUGAUAGAUUCCACUUCUCCAAGAACUCGAUAGCCUUUGUACGCAAAGUGGUGGCAACAGCUGGCGGCGCAGGAAGAGGCAGGCUGCUUCUAAACCCAACGCUUAAACUCAAGAGCUGAUCAAACUUCUCAACUAUUAGAUAUCUAAAGAGCUUUGAUCUCAUGAAAAGCUCGUCGAUGAUGAGAAGCGUCAAUAAUCGAACCUACCAAAGAUAAAACUCUUAUCAACAUGAAUGUGAAGAAAAGUUCCAAUCUUUUGCAGAAUUGAUCAAUUUUCAAACAAGCCCAGAAUGUAAGGAUUAAGAACCUGAGAGUGGUUAUGUUUCAUGAGCUCCAUUAGGGUUUUGGCACCGAGUCGGACCUCCGAAUCGGAAUAGCGAAGAGUUAAUUUGAUCGCCUUGAGCAGCCUCGGGUCAACCUCUUGGGCAGACGACUUUGUAGCUUUCUCUAUCAACCCGAUAACUUUUCCUCCGCCGUCAUCUCUCCCUUCCAUCGCCGGUGAUCGGGGAUUCAGAAAUCUCCUCUCUCUCGUUUCCAAUUAAAAACCUAAAAGAUGAAUUUUCCGAUUUGUGUUGGUUUAAUAUAUGUUAACAACACUGUGCGAGUCGGUUUACUUGGUUGACGUAUUGACAUAUUUGCCCCUCGUUUCGUAUUUGUUGGUUUACUUGCCCCUCGUUUCUGAUUGUUGGUUUAGUUUUAUCUGUUUCUACUGGGAUGCUCGGUUUACUUGGUUCCCCGCAAUCAUUGAAAUGACGUAGUUGCCCCUGUGUUAAAAAAACUCCGUGCAUCAGUCUUUAUGGGUCUUCAUGUAAUUAGAUCAAAGAUCGUUUAUAUAGUUAAAGUCAGUUACAGAUGUUCCCACCAAAAUCAUCACUCAACCCAGUCGAGAGAAAACGAAAAACAGAGAGACUAUCGUUGACGAUGAUGAUUCCAUCUUUCUGGAUUCUCGCGAUCUUUUCCAUCUCAAUGGCUUCAUCCUCCACGAUUCCAUCUCUACGAGGUAAAAAUCUGGUGAUUCUGUUAUGAUUUCCCGAGAAAAUUUGAAUCAAACAGAGGCUCAGUUUCCAUGUUCGUCCUCUUUCUCUCGUUUUCCUUCACUUUCUCGCUUGUUCUCCAGGUCCAGGAAUCGGAACCAACUACGGACGAUACAGCUCAAAUCUCGGAGGUAAUCUUUACAUUCUGUUACGAAUCCCGAGAAAAUUUGAGAGAUUGUUCUUCAACUCUUCGCUUGUUUCUUGAUCGUUUUUCAAUCACUUUCCGGGAAAAUUCGAUAGAAAGCUCUUCUUCAGUUAUUGAUCGUUUUCUUCUUUAAUCCAGUUCCAGAGAUCGGAAUCAACUACGGCCGUUACGGCUCAAACCUCCCACCACCAGAAGCCUUACCAUCACUCGUAACCUCUCUCUCCAUCAAACACGUCAAAACCUUCGACAUGGACCCAAGAAUCACCACCUCCUUCGCCAACACAGGCAUCUCCCUCUCCCUCUGCAUCCCCAACGACAAGAUCCCUCUCCUCUCCACCAACCUGUCCGAAGCCGACUCCAUCAUCAGAGCCUUCAUCUUACCUUACCACAAAACCACCAUCAUCACCUCAAUCUCCGUCGGCAACGAAGUCUCCCUCCUCCCUCCGUUCACCCCACACUUAGUCUCCGCUGUAGUCAACGUUCACCGAGCGAUCAAGCGCUACAGAUUGCACAAGAAGAUCAAAGUGACAACCACUCACUCCUUAGCGAUCCUCUCGCGGCGUUUCCCUCCCUCGACGGCGAGGUUCCAUAACUCGAUCGGCGAAUCGGUGUUGAAGCCGCUCGUUAGGUUUCUGCAGAGGACCAAGUCUCCUCUCAUGGUGAAUGUCUACCCUUACUUGGCGUACAAGCAAUCGUUCCCUUCGAUUCCGUUGGAUUUCGCUUUGUUUCAGCCCGUGAACGGAUCUAAGCGGCGGAUGUAUAGAGAUCCGUACAGUGGAGUCGCGUACACUAACUUGUUCGAUAUAAUGAUGGACUCGGUGGACUCUGCUGUGAAGGCUCUGGGGUUACCGAAGAUUCCGGUGGUUGUGUCGGAGAUUGGGUGGCCGUCGAGUGGUGAUCCAGGCGAAGUGGCGGCGAGUUUGGAGAACGCGAGGGUUUUUAAUCAGCGGUUGGUUGAGCAUUUGAGGAGAGGGGAGGAGAAGGUUACUGUGUAUAUCUUUGCUCUGUUUGAUGAAGAUCAGAAGAGUGGAGCCACUGUGGAGAAGCACUGGGGGUUGCUGUAUGGUAAUGGAUCGAAGAAGUAUGAUCUGAAUAUCUCGCCGCCGGUUUGAAAGUUUGAGCGUCGCGAAGAGAGAGAAGAUUGUUUUGUAUAUGGGCCUUUGUUUUUUUCAUGGGCCGUAGAUCAACAUGUUAGCUAACCAGGUCUUUUGUAAACCAUAAAUAGAUAUAAAAAUUUGGAAAUAAAUAAAUAAAUGGAGUUGUUUGAGUGUUUGGACUCGUUUUUUUUUUGACCUUUUAUGUCACGUUCAAAUAUGACAUAGAUUCGAUUGUACUUUGUCAUUUUCUUUAGGACAUAUAUCUAACAAGACAUUUGUCUCUGGAUAGAUCUGAAAUGCAAAUUGUCAUCUUGUUACGGAAAGUUGUCGUCCAUUCGAAAUUAUAUGUAACAAUUCGAUAUUUAUAAUAUAGAUGAAAUAAAAAUUUAGAAGCGCAAGUGCAAGUGAUCAUAUCUCCACUAUAAGUGCAAGUAAGUGAGAAGAGAUAUUUGCGGAGGAAACAGUGGGAAAGGGGUGAGUAGUGGGUAUAAAACUGGUGGCUCGUCAUUCGGUGGCUGCAUUAUUCUGACCAUAUAUGGAUCCAUGUGCCGCACUGCACUUUGUCUCUGGAUCGUCAUGUAGGAUGUGUUUUUCAAUCUCAUUUCUGAUUAUUAAUCAUUAUUAUUGAUUUCUUAUUUUUGACGAAAUUGUUUUUUUUAAUCAAGAAAUUGUUUUGUUUCGGUUGCCAAAAUAUACAAUGCUUCUUAAUACACAUUAAUACACAUAAGACCAAGAACUGUCCCAUCUCUACACUCUCUCACUCACAUGGAGAGAAAACAAUAAGAGUCUUUGUCCACCCUGUAUUAGCGAUACAUGUCGUUUACGAUGCAUAUAUAUGUAUACAUUCAUAUAAAAAUAUUGAGAUGCACCAGACUGAAACUAUAUAUGUAUUGCAUUUGAGUACCAAACAACAAGGAUGAAUCACGAAAAACAUUAAUGAAUAGCUAGUAGUUAUUCAAAUAAUUCGUUUAGUUGGGAAGCAAGAUUGUGAAGAAGAUUCACGUGAACCUAAUUAUUUGUAACAAAACCUAUUACGAAAUUAGGUAAGUUGGAUGUAUUAAGAAUUCGGGUGAGCUAGUCUAGUGGAUGACAAUUGAGGUAAGCUUCUAAAUUUUGGUGCAUAUAACUUUUAUAAAGACUCUAUACAUGUUUUUGGAUUAAAUAUUCAGUGGCUCAAUUUAUGACCAAGUGCUCUCUAGAGUUAGUUGAAGAAAUUUCAAGAUGUUUUAGUUUGUCAAAAGAUGUACAACACUGUGAAUGUGAUGGUAAUUAAAGAUAUUUCAAAGAAUACAUUACAUUUAAGAUUUACUUCUCUUUGAGUUAACAUAAAGAACUUUUUUUAACACAAGUCACUGAAUGAGUAAAUUCUCCUCCACUCAUGUCACAGAUUCAGUUAAAAAAUGAUCCAUCAUGAAAUCAUCAUUAAUGAGUAAUGAGUGGUAUGAUGAAUAGAUGAUGUCAUGUUGACGACAAAUAUGGAUAAAAUUCUUAUUUUUAAAAUUGUUCUUUGGGAAUAAUUAAUCAGUCAAGUCAGACACAAAAACCUAACAUGCGCCAGACAUAAACCCGACCCGUGACCCGACUAAGUCGUAAGCCACACGGAAACCUUGUUGCUGUAUGUUCCCAAUAAUCGACAAACUCCCCAUUGUGCCGGCGAACGCAAAACAGAACCGCCCUUGACUGUUCACCGGAAUAAGAUAAUUACUUGCCGGAAGCGAAACAUCUCCUCCGCUGAAAUGAAACACCACCGUCGGAACUUUCACCGUCGUCAUCCCGGAAAGAUCGAAACACGUGUCGAACAGAGAAUACGACGGAGCACGUUUAAGCCUCGUCGCUCCGAGAAGAAACGCAUCUCUGAACGCCACAUAAGCCGGUCGAGUCAGCCGAGUAACCGAAGUACCGGAAUCUAUAAUCACUCCGCCGUCUCCGGUGGGGUCAAGCUUAAACUGCGACUCCGAGACGCCGGGAACGCGCGAACCACCAACGCUGAUCCCAAGAAGCUGAAGAUAAUAGAACGUGUCGAGCUUCGGAUUCGUCAAUAACGUCGUGAAGACGGAGGUUUCCGGAACGGCGUCGUUUCCGAAGACGAUAGUCGACGGAGGUUUGGAAGCGGAACCGGAACUCGUCCGGUCGACUAAACAGUAAGAGAAUUUAGCGUUGUAACGGUUUUUCGUCUGCGUAAGCUUCUAAAUUUUGGUGCAUAUAACUUUUAUAAAGACUCUAUACAUGUUUUUGGAUUAAAUAUUCAGUGGCUCAAUUUAUGACCAAGUGCUCUCUAGAGUUAGUUGAAGAAAUUUCAAGAUGUUUUAGUUUGUCAAAAGAUGUACAACACUGUGAAUGUGAUGGUAAUUAAAGAUAUUUCAAAGAAUACAUUACAUUUAAGAUUUACUUCUCUUUGAGUUAACAUAAAGAACUUUUUUUAACACAAGUCACUGAAUGAGUAAAUUCUCCUCCACUCAUGUCACAGAUUCAGUUAAAAAAUGAUCCAUCAUGAAAUCAUCAUUAAUGAGUAAUGAGUGGUAUGAUGAAUAGAUGAUGUCAUGUUGACGACAAAUAUGGAUAAAAUUCUUAUUUUUAAAAUUGUUCUUUGGGAAUAAUUAAUCAGUCAAGUCAGACACAAAAACCUAACAUGCGCCAGACAUAAACCCGACCCGUGACCCGACUAAGUCGUAAGCCACACGGAAACCUUGUUGCUGUAUGUUCCCAAUAAUCGACAAACUCCCCAUUGUGCCGGCGAACGCAAAACAGAACCGCCCUUGACUGUUCACCGGAAUAAGAUAAUUACUUGCCGGAAGCGAAACAUCUCCUCCGCUGAAAUGAAACACCACCGUCGGAACUUUCACCGUCGUCAUCCCGGAAAGAUCGAAACACGUGUCGAACAGAGAAUACGACGGAGCACGUUUAAGCCUCGUCGCUCCGAGAAGAAACGCAUCUCUGAACGCCACAUAAGCCGGUCGAGUCAGCCGAGUAACCGAAGUACCGGAAUCUAUAAUCACUCCGCCGUCUCCGGUGGGGUCAAGCUUAAACUGCGACUCCGAGACGCCGGGAACGCGCGAACCACCAACGCUGAUCCCAAGAAGCUGAAGAUAAUAGAACGUGUCGAGCUUCGGAUUCGUCAAUAACGUCGUGAAGACGGAGGUUUCCGGAACGGCGUCGUUUCCGAAGACGAUAGUCGACGGAGGUUUGGAAGCGGAACCGGAACUCGUCCGGUCGACUAAACAGUAAGAGAAUUUAGCGUUGUAACGGUUUUUCGUCUGCGAGGGAAACGAUAACCCUCCGCGGCCCAGGCCCAACAGCCCAGCCG
This 10704-nucleotide long non-coding RNA is filed under the name Brassica napus (rape). Its description in RNAcentral is "long non-coding RNA (BNAP_LNC006137)". The record is from RNAcentral. Lineage: Eukaryota; Viridiplantae; Streptophyta; Magnoliopsida; Brassicales; Brassicaceae.